UGAGUAACCUGCCCUUAACUCUGGGAUAAGCCUGGGAAACUGGGUCUAAUACCGGAUAUGACUCCUCACCGCAUGGGUGGGGGGUGGAAAGGGCUUUAUUAUGGUUUUGGAUGGACUCGCGGCCUAUCAGCUUGUUGGUGGGGUGAUGGCCUACCAAGGCGACGACGGGUAGCCGGCCUGAGAGGGCGACCGGCCACACUGGGACUGAGACACGGCCCAGACUCCGUACGGGAGGCAG
This 238-nucleotide ribosomal RNA is filed under the name uncultured bacterium. RNAcentral's name for it is "partial 16S ribosomal RNA". It matches the Rfam family "Bacterial small subunit ribosomal RNA", at positions 118 to 351 of the family's 1533-position model. The record is from RNAcentral.